Molecule: long non-coding RNA, 2224 nt
Filed under: Homarus americanus (American lobster)
Lineage: Eukaryota; Metazoa; Arthropoda; Malacostraca; Decapoda; Nephropidae
Description: uncharacterized LOC121860110
Source: RNAcentral
UGGAGGAAGAUGGUCGUGGUGUGAGCAUUGCCCGCUUGAUUCAGUUGGGAUGUUUUGUCAUACCGCAUUACUUCCGCCUUGUAACGUAACAUAUUCUUGUAAUUGACAUACAAAGUGCACCGUGACUUAUAAAAUAUGUUUUAUAAUGAGUGAUUGUCCCCAGUCUGUUUGAAAGUAGCGACAAACAAUGGAUAAAUGCUGAGAGUAGUGUUUGUUUACAUCGUGAAUCUGUGUAGGUUGUGUUUACAAGGAACAGCUGAUCGGCUGGUGGCUCUAUCGUGUUUGACAGCCUUGUAGAUAAGUGAUAUACCCGUGGCCUGGAUGAUCACUAUAUUACUCAGAACAAACAUGUGCUUACGUCGAGCUAUUUAACGGUGAUAAUACUCCACAACAAGAACAGACGACGUAGAUGAAGCCAUAAUGGGCAAGUGUAGUACAAGACGCGUGGAAACUGACGUCCCUAGUGAAGUGCAUACGACAAGUGUCACCCCUUCCCCAAGUGUAACCUCUCCUUCCUCACUCUCUUGACCUCCCUGUCAGCGCCUCUUCAAGUACUACCUUGUAACACUUGUCUGGGUGUAUGUAUGUACCGUACGCUGUCUACUUCAACACUUGAGUCCACCUACUUUAGCUACACCUCCUUCUAUUCCUGUCAACUCUCUAUUCAACCAAGAUGGAGAGUGAUAAAGUCGUAGAUAUCUCCCCCACUUCUUGUACGCCCCAGGGUCCUCCAACACUCUCUUCCUCUCCCUCCUCUCCCUCCUCUCUCCCCCACCACACUCCUCUCACCCCCACCACACUCCUCUCACCACGAAUGACAAAUGCCUCACUCCUGCCUCUAAUAUUAUAAUGACUAUCACCACCAUCACAAGCAACAGAGAGGAAGAGGGGGAAGAAGACUCGACUCCUCUUUGCCUUCACAAUACUCCCAGUUUACCCAAGGCCGCCGACUCGGUCAACACGGUGCGACAUAAAAAGGCUGUGGACUGGUCUUUGAACAGUAUAGGUGACUUGUACAGGUCAAGCUUACCCCUCCUGACCUGACCUUCACUCACAGACUCGUCUCAGGAAAACUGUUUGAACUAUUUUCACUUUUCUAGUAAUGUUUUAAUCUCAUUUUGUUUUAUAUACCGUAUGUAUUAUGGUGUGAGUUAUGUCUGCAUUGCCUUGGGGUACUGUACUGCCAUCCCACUUGCACGAUCGUCUGUUUUAUGUGACUUUUACCAUCUUAGUUAAAUGAUCAGCUUAGGUUAAGUUAGGUUACGUUGGGUUGGGUUAUGUUAUGUUAUGUUAUGUAUCUAUCAUCUUUAUUGUGGGAAUAUAGAAAUGCCUGUCUUCCAUCAGUUCAUGUGGCCAUUUUAGUGCUGCUCCGUGGAUUCUCCCUCAAGUUCAAGAUUAUCAGUAUUUUAAUGAAAGGAAGGACUUACUCCUUCCCUGUGUGGUUCAUCCUCUCACAGGGGGACUGUCUUUGUUUACACCUACAUCAGUCAUGUUGAGAGCCUUCACAAAAAUAACACCUUCUAGAGACCCCCAAUUUUUGGACAGCUGCAGACACAGGUUCCUCUGAAGAAUCAACAGUCCCAGAAAUAAAUGCUGCAUAGUUUACUAGAGAUGAUCCUUGUACAUAGGACUCAGAAUUCCUCUGAGAGAGAUCCAGUGCCCUAGCUUGGUCAAAGGCUGUCUGUAGAUCCAGACUCUUAUUUUCUAGGAGGUGCUAAUGAAUCAGUGGUGUCAUGAGUCAUUGAUGAAAGUCUCUUAUAUAGUCAUCCUAGUUCUGUUCUGCUCUAACAGCCUUGAAGUUGUACUCCUUACGGAGCUGGUGAAGUUCCUGUGCGUAUUCAUCCAAUGUUUCAUCUUGAAGUUGUACUCCUUACUGAGAUGGUGUUUCACCCUGACGUUGUCUUCUUGUGCCCAGAAGAUGUCGAGCAAAGAAUUCAUUCCUGGGCUUCACGUAGAGAUCCUGAAUAAUCUAUAUUGCAGCCUCAUAAGUGUCAUUAUCGGCUAUAUAUGUGUAUACACUAGGAGACACAAAGUUGAUGAGGGUGUUCAAUAUGUCAGGUGUGUGGAAUGCAAUGGACUAAAGGAAGCUAUAGAAUGUGUGGUACCAGUGGCACCACUUCCUAGCUGCUUCUGGUGAGUUUAGACUAGAAUCCAAUCUCUGGCUGCAGACACUUCUCCGUGGUGACUCAUGACAGUUAAGAUGAAUAAAUUGCAAUGAAACAGA